GAACAAUGCCUCGAAGGAUCCACGGUCAUUGGGCCACUUUCGGUCGCUCUCGUGGAGCGUUUCACGGUCGUGGUCGGCCGCGAGGCAGCUGCAAUCGAUUGGUAACAAUUUAGUGGCCCCUAAAGCGACUGAGCUUUUGACUACCAAUGGGCUUGCAGUUCCUAUCUUUACCAUGAACAUGGUGUUAUUGUUUGUAAUGUGGGCGCUUGUGGCGGCUAUUCCUUGCCAGGAUCGUGGCUUGCAGGUUCAUUUCUCUUUGCCUCGAAAUUUCCCAUGGGCAGCUCCAAUCCUUCAACUACAUGAUCGAAUUGUGGAGGAGUCCAAGAAGCGAGAUCGAAGAAAUUCCUGUGGGCUGUUGAAGGAGAUUAAUCAGAUUGAAAAGUGCACGCGUCUCAUGAAUGAUUUGGCAGAUUCAGCUCAGUUCCCAUUGGCAGAGGAGAAAGAAGCAGAGCUGAGACAGAGAGUACAAGAGCUAACCACAGUUUGUGAUACUCUUAGGACUGGAUUGGACUCGUUGGAGCGGCAGGUGAGGGAAGUUUUUCACAGGAUUGUUCGUAGCAGGACUGAAGGGCUUGACUCUUUGGGACGAGCGAAUCACUCUGAAUAGAAUUGUUGGGAGUUUCAGAACAUGUUCUACA
Molecule: unclassified non-coding RNA, 638 nt
Filed under: Hevea brasiliensis (rubber tree)
Lineage: Eukaryota; Viridiplantae; Streptophyta; Magnoliopsida; Malpighiales; Euphorbiaceae
Source: RNAcentral